UACGUAGGCAGCGAGCGUUGUUCGGAGUUACUGGGCGUAAAGAGUGCGUAGGCGGUUUUCUAAGUUUGGUGUGAAAUCUCCCGGCUUAACUGGGAGGGUGCGCCGAAAACUGGAAGGCUUGAGUAUGGGAGAGGUAAGUGGAAUUUCCGGUGUAGCGGUGAAAUGCGUAGAUAUCGGAAGGAACAUCAGUGGCGAAAGCGACUUCCUGGACCAAUACUGACGCUCAUGUGCGAAAGCGUGGGGAGCAAACAGG
Molecule: ribosomal RNA, 253 nt
Filed under: uncultured bacterium
Lineage: Bacteria
Description: partial 16S ribosomal RNA
Rfam family: Bacterial small subunit ribosomal RNA
Source: RNAcentral